RNAcentral lists this unclassified non-coding RNA (145 nucleotides) under Rhodotorula toruloides. The record is from RNAcentral. Lineage: Eukaryota; Fungi; Basidiomycota; Microbotryomycetes; Sporidiobolales; Sporidiobolaceae.
CGACGGCACCGCUCAGAAAUUCUACGGCGACGUCGACGCAUACAAGUCGCUCAUUGUGAGCGGGAACAAGACGAUGCGGCCGACGCAGGUUUGACCGGGCGAUUUUUCGUAGAUACUCGCUCUUGCAACGCCUUCUCUCGUUCCU